UGAAGAAUUNUNNUAAUGGGCNAAAGCCUGACGGAGCAAUACCGCGUGGAGGAAAAAGAACACCCGUGGGUCGUAAACUNCUUUUCUCAGAGAAGAACACUGACGGUAUCUGAGGAAUAAGCACCGGCUAACUAUGUGCCAGCAGCCGCGGUAAUACAUGGGGUGCGAGGUUUAUUCGGAAUGAUUGGGCGUAAAGCGUUCGUAGGUGGUUUCACGAAGUCCACUGUCAAAGAUCAGGGCUUAACCUUGGGCAGGCAGUGGAAACUCGGAAACUCGAGUCAGGUGGGGGCUGAAGGAAUCAACAGCGUAACAGUGAAAUGUGUAGAUAUUGUUGAGAACACCGAUGGAGAAAUCAUUCAGCUGGGCCAUGACUGACACUGAGGGACGACAGCUNGGGGAGCAAAAAGGAUUAGAUACCCUUGUAGUCCUAGCCGUAAACGAUGGAGACUAAGUGCUGUCAAAAAACAAAGCUGUGGCUUAAGCGUUUAAUUUCCCCCCCUGGGGAGUNUGNUGGCAA
RNAcentral lists this ribosomal RNA (517 nucleotides) under uncultured Chlorophyta. Its description in RNAcentral is "bacterial SSU rRNA". It matches the Rfam family "Bacterial small subunit ribosomal RNA", at positions 355 to 891 of the family's 1533-position model. Lineage: Eukaryota; Viridiplantae; Chlorophyta. The record is from RNAcentral.